GUAAUCGUUCUACGAGGACAGAUCGUAAGUCGUCAUGGUCGCCGAACUGGCGAGCAUUUCUGCUGCGGCUACGGAGCAGAAAAGUACCUCAGGGUCAAAAAGACCUAGACCUAGAUGGAUCCAAACCGCAACCCGCGAGCCAGUCUACAGUAUCUUGGAUAGUAAGGAGAGUUCUGUCGGGAGUAUUCCACCUGGUGUUAAGGAUAAUGUCGUGGUGAUAAGUGCUGUACAAAAUAGAGACAAUACAAGAGAGUCCAGGGUGAACGAAGGUGAGCAGAGAGAGUUACCUUACGUCUGGUUACCUUUGGAGAACAGAACUACAGAUUCCGAGAAUUACAGGAUAGAGGUAGAGGACGAGCAUGCUAUAUACAGCGUGGUCAGAAAGCGCACCAAGGAACCCGAAGUUCUGACACGUCAGCAGGAACUGAACAAGUGGUUGCAAACAGCCUCCGAACAUUUGAAAAGAGAUACCUUUGGAGAACGUCCUCGAGAAACAUCCGAGAUAGACCUUCCACGAAGCUCCAGAGCAAUGUUCUCCGAUGAAAUGGAUGAGGAAUGGAAAAAAGAGAGAAACCCGUCCUCGGCACCCAAAGGAGUGGUAGGUCUGGUAGGACCUUACAGAGUCUAUCCAAACCCUAGUGAACGCAUGGAAUACAUGCUUCAGGAAGAAGAACUCGUCGAAGAGGUAGUAGACUCUGUUAGUGAAAUAGCAGCAGCAGCUGGUAUAGAAAUACAUCAGCGCGCCAAGUGGCGCAUUCGAGAAGAUGACGAAGAAACUCUAGUACCGGAUCUACAAGAUCCUGAGGACCUUAAAGAAGAACGAGUCAAGAUAAACCCUGUUCCAGAAAGCUGGCGUCACAGGGAACUUCCAGACCUUGACGUGGGACGUGAAAAUUGGAAACUCAGAGAAAGCGAUUCUUCGUACAAGACAAUUGGGAUAUUAUCUGGUAAAGAGGAAAGAGCUGUCGACGUACCAGAUGGAGCUUCAAAUGCUUCUAACGAUCUUAAUUCCAGAACUGGAAAUAAUGAGCAGCAGGAUAAGGACAGCUUAAACGAGACAGGAAGCACAACGGGCGGCGCAGUGGAGGGAACACCUGGUGGAACCCCUUCGAGGGGUGACAGGACAAAUAAUGAUCCUCAGGUGCCAGUGUCAUCAACUUCGCCGCCCUCAAGGUCCCUUGUAUCCAGGAUCCUUGCUAGGGCUAAAUCACCGGAUGAUCUACUGGACCACUCAGAGCCAUUCUCACAGCUAUGGGUGGUCCUCUCGAAUGUCUAUGGAGAGCUGGUGAUAGUCCUGAUGCUGGCCCUGUGCCUGGCCGAAGUGAUGGAUACUCCGGUACCACUGAUGAGCCUCCAGAGCGUCUUCCUGAUGUAUCUCUACGUUGGGAGUAUUGCUGUUAUUAUCAGCAUCUACAUCUGGGUCCUUGUCGACAGCUGCAGUAGCAUGGGAAACGGUACCACUGGUGUGGAUGAUGCAGAACUGGGCGGCGCUUCUCUGACCAGAUUUGGAUCAUUAAAAAGGGCCCAUAUAUCGCGGGCCAGGACAGCCCCGACAAGCUUUUAUAUUCGUGUUGGUGCUCUCUUGUUUGGAUUGGCUACCUUGGUAUUUAACGGCCUGGAGAUGGCGAUGCACUCGAUGAUGCAGGGUGCUGAGUGUCUCAGCGAUGUUGUAUUUGUGCAUCCAGUCUUACACGGGCUCUUUACCUUCCUUCAGAUGCACUUCCUCUUUGUCAACUCACAGGUUCUGGUAGAGAGAUUUGGCUUAGCUGCUAGAUUUGGUUUCAUUCAUCUUGCUGCAACAAAUAUUGCUGUUUGGGCCCGUUUGGUUGUGUGGGAUUCAGCGCAGGAGUGGACUUACUUUGUCCAUCUUGCUCAACGGGGUCCGCAUACAUCUUCAUCGCCGCUUAAUCUUCGUGGAUUCCCUGGUUCACUGACUAGACACACGCGAGAUUUACUUGGUGAAACUUCGACAGACCAAAGUCUCAUCAGAGCUUAUCAACCUAUAUCCAGUGAGCAAAUUUCGCAGGUUGUCGCCUUGCAAGAAUGUCUGAAUACCAACACCCUGGGCCAAUUAUGGACGUCCAGUAUGCCAUUCCUCUAUCCAUUCAUUGUGCAAUUUAGCUUGAUUGCAGCUGCCGUUACGUUCGUAAUGGGUCAAAACGUGGGUCGCAAUCGUUUAUCCCACAAACAGAAGUUUCAUACGAGUAAAGACUUGACGAGUCACAUGCGCGUCGGUUGCGACGGCUCCAGCAAGGGUCUCUUCCUGGGAAUCCUUUGUAUGGUGGCUGGUAUAGUGGUCAUUCUGAUUUUCCUGGUAGUCCGAGAUGAUGAGAAUUUUCCACCGGAAACGUUAUCCUGGUUGACCUGCGGUACCCUUAUCGGCAUCCUGACACUGAGUGGUGUAAUGACAGCCAGUGGUCUGAUCCAGGUACGGCAGAUGUCUGUCGUGACAAGAGCACCAGCUGCACUAGACAGUCUACUGUCGAAUGUCGCCUUGUUUGGAGUCCAGCUGUACUCAAUAUUCACCAUAGUAGUAUCGGCCUGUUCUCUGGCCACCCUGGACGAGGAAACGGAAGACACCCGGAGCAGACACAUCAUGCUCCUCUCCGCCUCAGUUCUUCAGUUAAUACAGUGCUGUGCUCAGAGUACUCUGAUCGCUGAAGCCUCCAAGAGAUCCUGCAUCACGCGCUUCCAGAUGAUGGCGAAGCCUGCAAGGCAGGUCAUCACUUUCCUCCUCUUCAGCAACGCUGUCCUCUGGGCCUUUGACACCGUAGUCACACAGAACUGGCUCUCUCAGGAACUGCAAUUGAGAUUCUUCGGCGUCCUGGCCUGGGGCGUCAUUUGUCGAAUUGGUCUGCCUCUUCUAGUCUUCUACAGAUUUCACAGUUGUGUCCUAUUAUUGGAAGCUUGGAACAAGUGCUACAGAGUGCCAAGAGGCGAGCUCCCGCUCAACUGACGGCACAGAAGAUCUUGCCGAUUAUCCUCCAGGUACCAACUUCCACAAUCCCCUAAGAAAACUGGCGCCAAGAGCACACCAUCUUCACUGUCACAGACGAGUUAUUCUAGACCUCCAAAAGAGCGAAGACGGCUCGUCGACCUUAAGACGACCUCUCAAGAGGCCAAGAAAUCCAAGUUCUCUUGG
Molecule: RNA transcript, 3142 nt
Organism: Cephus cinctus (wheat stem sawfly)
Lineage: Eukaryota; Metazoa; Arthropoda; Insecta; Hymenoptera; Cephidae
Exons: 9
Source: RefSeq, a predicted model, not a curated record